This 776-nucleotide ribosomal RNA is filed under the name uncultured Neocallimastigales. Its description in RNAcentral is "partial large subunit ribosomal RNA". It matches the Rfam family "Eukaryotic large subunit ribosomal RNA", at positions 23 to 644 of the family's 3401-position model. Lineage: Eukaryota; Fungi; Neocallimastigomycota; Neocallimastigomycetes; Neocallimastigales. The record is from RNAcentral.
AUAGAGACUCAGAGCUGCAUAUCAAUAAGCGGAGGAAAAGAAACUAACUAGGAUUCCCUCAGUAACGGCGAGUGAAGCGGGAAGAGCUCAAAUUUGAAAUCUUCAAGGUUUUACCUUGACGAAUUGUAGUUUAUAGAAGUGUUUUCUGUUGAAGUUUUGGUAAAAGUUCUUUGGAAAUAGGACAUCAUAGAGGGUGAGAAUCCCGUAUUUGACCAUUAUUUCCAGCUGUGUGAUACACUUUCAAAGAGUCGGAUUGUUUGGGAAUGCAGUCCAAAAUGGGUGGUAAAUUUCAUCUAAAGCUAAAUAUUGGCGAGAGACCGAUAGCGAACAAGUACCGUGAGGGAAAGAUGAAAAGAACUUUGAAAAGAGAGUUAAACAGUACGUGAAAUUGUCAAAAGGGAAGCGUUUGACACCAGUGUUGUUUUUCCGAAAAUCAAUUACGAAUGUUUUGUUUUUGAGGAGUUAUGACUUCAUCGGCUUGCUUCUCUCUUUACGAAACUUUCUUAAUGCACUUUUCGGUUAACAAGUCAACAUCAAUUUCUUUUGUUGUAAAAGAGUAUGAGGAAGGUGGCUUUCUUUUCGGAGAAAGUGUUUAUAGCCUUGUACUUCUGCAAUCGGAGAGAUUGAGGUCUGCAGCGUAGAUCCUUCGGGGUUAGAUACAUUUGUGCUAAGUUAUAGCUUUUUAUAGGACAACUUGUUGACUAUGAUUGAUCUUGUAGCUUACUCGCUUAUGCUAUUUUACCUACGCUUAGGAUGUUGAUAGUCACAGCGUGUAC